Molecule: transfer RNA, 76 nt
Filed under: Streptomyces venezuelae
Lineage: Bacteria; Bacillati; Actinomycetota; Actinomycetes; Kitasatosporales; Streptomycetaceae
Description: tRNA-Trp
Rfam family: tRNA
About the family: Transfer RNA (tRNA) molecules are approximately 80 nucleotides in length. Their secondary structure includes four short double-helical elements and three loops (D, anti-codon, and T loops).
Source: RNAcentral
AGGGGUGUAGCUCAAUGUCCAGAGCGCCGGUCUCCAAAACCGGGCGACGUGGGUUCAAUUCCCACCGCCCCUCCCG